This is a non-coding RNA of Paramuricea clavata, 296 nucleotides long. Lineage: Eukaryota; Metazoa; Cnidaria; Anthozoa; Malacalcyonacea; Plexauridae. The record is from the annotation of a GenBank genome assembly.
UGAGAGAGGUAAACAUACCCAAUUGUUUGUGAGCUUCCGGAAACCACACAAUCCUGUUUUAACCGACACUCUUGCGAGGUGGAUUAAAACUGUUAUGCACAAAGCUGGAAUAAACACAGAGAUAUAUGGUGCUCAUAGCACCAGGGCGGCUUCCACUUCAGCAGCGCAUAGGAGGCAUAUUGAUACCAACAAAAUCCUUGCUGCCGCAGGGUGGACUAAUGAGACCACCUUUAGUAAGUUCUACAACAAAACUAUUGUAGAUAUGACAAAGAACUACGGCGAAGACCUAUUGUCUG